This 175-nucleotide long non-coding RNA is filed under the name Bos grunniens (domestic yak). RNAcentral describes it as "lncRNA (ENSBGRG00000001933.1)". The record is from RNAcentral. Lineage: Eukaryota; Metazoa; Chordata; Mammalia; Artiodactyla; Bovidae.
AACACCCAGGGCCCCGUGCUUUUAGCUGAAUAAAGGUCAGGCCGUCCGCUGUCUCGGUGGCCGCCCAUCAUCGCAAGGGACGAGAGGCCCCCCAGGGAAGGUCAACGUAUGCAAAGCUCCGGGCUCACCUCCGCAAGCAGGAGACAUUUCCAUUUUUACUCCGUUUGGUGGACUC